Molecule: long non-coding RNA, 28159 nt
Filed under: Vigna radiata
Lineage: Eukaryota; Viridiplantae; Streptophyta; Magnoliopsida; Fabales; Fabaceae
Description: long non-coding RNA (VRAD_LNC009287)
Source: RNAcentral
GGGAGAAGCCCUGGGCGGCGGCAAAGGUGUCCUCUUGCUGGUCGUAGUCGGAGGAGAGGGCGACGCGGGGAAGGAAGCGGGAGGAGAGGGAGAAAGUGGGUUUGAGGAAAACGGUAGAAAUGGAGAUGGGUUUGGCGUUAGGGGUGAGGGAGAGAGAAGAAGAGAAGCAUUUGGGAGAAGAGAGAGGAUGCUGUGUUCUGAGAGUGAGAGUUGGGAGUGCAAGAGAAGUUGCAGAGGUAGACAUUGUUACAGAUAAGGUUUUGUAAGAAAGGAGAAGAAGUAGGGUUUAUGAAGGAAUGGGAGAGUUUAGGUGAGUGAGGAGUGUGAUAUUUAUUGGCAAGAAAGAAGAAAGAGCAUACCGAUAAGGUUUAUUCAUCAUCCAUUUACUACUCUAUCCUUCAUCUUUUUCACUCUAGACAGAUAUUUUCUUCUUCCUUCUAAAACUUGAAGUCUUUUGUGGGAAUUGAAAUAUAUGUCGACGUGGACAUGCUAACGUUCAGAUAUUUUGGGUAUGGUGAAAUGAAUAGGCAUAUAUAUAUAUAUAUAUAUAUAUAUAUAUAUAUAUAUAUAUAUAUAUAUAUAUAUAUAUAUAUAUAUAUACGGCAAUUACUCCCUACACCAUCAGAGACACCUUCUAGCACCUCUUCAUUCCUGUUUUGCCCUCCAGUAUAAAUGGAAGUAAAAUAAGUAUUACUCUAAAUUGAUGUAAUUAUUCGUCAGUGGAUGUCAACAUUCGAGGUAAAAUGGAUUUCGACAUCCGUUUGGACAAAUUCAAAUGCUUAUAAGAUUUGGCCUGUGAACUUCUCGACAGUAUAUUUGGUCAAAUGAGAACUAAACAUUAGCUGAACAGUUGGAGCUGCCCCAGAACUAACAGAGAUCAUCUUGCCUUCUUUAAAUAGAAACUCUUUCAAACUAGUAACUUGUAUUCUCUCAAGCACUCCUAACCAUAUUUCUCCAAUUUCUUUCCACCCUUUAUCCAAAAUUUGCGUCUCAUUCAUCUUAAUCUUAUCAGUGGCUUGGAAAUGUGUAUAUUGAGGAGUAAAACUAGACACACUAUGUCGUUUUUUCUCAGAACCAAGACCCCUUGCCAGACCAUCUGCUGAACUUCCGGCAUGGAAAUUUUCAAUUCUAGCAUCCAUUGAUAAUCGUCUAGUUUUGUUAGGAAUGUCAACAGGAUUACCAUUCGGUCUAACGGCUUCUCUCGCUUUUGCAUCUUUUAGAGUGAACGGACUAUGGUUGAAACUAUUAUCAGAUGAUGUUGGUAACACAUAUUGCUGGUUCGGAGCAAGCUAAAGUAGAGCAACCGUUAGGCAUGAUAGCUUGUCAUUGGACAUCCUCAGUUGCUUCUCAGCCUCAGAUAAAGUUUUCAGAGCUUGGCGCAACUUUUCCAUGUCUUCAUUGGACAAUGGUUGUCUAGGAAAGAACUUCCUUCUUCGCCUUUCUUUUGUGAAAUCAUAGGUCCCAACAAGUAUAUCUUUAAUUACUGUAGCAAGUUGUGACAUUAAAGCCAAUGGCUCCACAAUGGUUUCCAUUAUCACUCUUAAAUUCUUCACGGUGUUAAUUGUGCCUGCAGAUAAUGCUAAAUCAAGCAGAUCCACCAAUUUCUCAUCAGUGAUUAGCCCUACCAAUUCCUGACAAGAGGAACGGAUAUUCUCUGUCCAAGUAAACAAAUUUGUUCAAGGGUCAUCUCAGCAUCUCUCAUAGAUCCAUCCGACCUUGAUGCAAUCAGUUUCAAGGCAUCCUUCUCAAUUUCUAGACCUUCUUUGGUUGCAAUCCACUAUAGAGUAUGUAUAAUAUUUGCAUCCUUCAUCUUUGGGAAAAAUGAUUUUUGACACCUGGAUAUUAUUAUAUGAGGCAAGACAUCAAGACUACAACUGGCAAGGAUAAAAACAACACGUCUAGGUGCUCGUCAAUGACUUUCGAUAUAGCAUUCCAACAAUCUGUCGACAGAGUAUCACAGUCAUAAAAAAAUAAACUAGUGGAAGGUUGCUCUUCGGGGGAGCAUACAAAUGGAAAAUCGGAGGUAUUGUUGGUAAUAUUCCUAGUGUUAAUCCUAGUGGUGGUUGCAGUUGUGAAUGGGGUGUUGACUUUGGAGUUGCCUGCGGCGGCAGAGGCGAGGUAAUAUGGAAAACCGAUGAAGGUGGAAUUGUAGUAGGAGUUGAAGGCCGAAGGAACUGUGGAGGAGGAACGUAAGAUUGCAGUGAUGGUGACGGUUGUGAACGUGGCGACGGUGUGGGAGAAGAUGGUGGAGCUGAACGUCUUGGUGAUGGAGGAGGUAGAGAACAUUUUGGCGGGGGAGAAGAUUGAUUUGAGAAUGGGGAGGUGAUGGAGAAGUAGAAGGGGUAGGUGUUGGAGAAGUAGAAGGAGUUGGUGGUGGCGGUGGAUGAACCAACAUUGGUGGAGGAGGGGAAUUCUCUGGUGCCGGCAGAAGAGAUUUUUUCGGCAGAGAUACGGUAGGUGGAGAAGAGAUUUCUGGGGUGGUGGUGAAGUUGAUGUGAUAGUAAAGGUGAUGACUGUGAAGGUUGCGACGAUGGUUCCGAGGGUGGCGGAGACUCUACGUCGUCCGAUGACUACUGCAACGAGGACAGCGCGGAGGCUUGGUGGUGGUGGAAGGAGCAACACCCCUUAAUUAAAUAGGGUUAAAAAGUAAAAAAUAAAGUAAAAAAAGUUAAAAAAAAAGUUAUUUAUGUAAUUAAAAAAAAGUUGAUGAAAAUUGGAGAGGUAGAAGAUAGAAAUGUGGCAAUAGAAGGAACAACACCAUAUAUAUAUAUAUAUAUAUUAAAUUUAUUAGGUAAACAAUAAUUAUUGUUUACAAAUGUAAUUACUAUGUGGAGUGAUAUAUUUACCAAGGACUUACACCUUAAGUUAUUUUCACACUCAUAAGUAAUGGUCUUUUCUCCUUUUUCAACUUCAAAUUUCUUCUUCUUUCAACGACAUUUAAUUUAUUUUAUUUUUAUUUAAAUGGCUUCUUUCAUUUUUCUUCAUCAAAUUUUCUUCAUUUUUCUUCACCUUCGUUUGAAAUAGAAACACACCUUGUUUUUCUUGCAUAUAUUUUUGUUUUUAGAAUAUAAACUUGGUAUUUACUUUUAUUAUAUUUUGCAUGUACGAGAUUUUGAAAUCUGAUUUGUAAAAGUAUUUUCGAAAUUUUGAAAAUCAUAAGAUAGUUUUAGUGAUAACUAAAUUUUUGAAAUUUGAUUUUGAAAUUCGAUUCAGAGGGGCACUGGAUUUCGAAAUCUGGUUAAUAAACUUAACGAAUUUAGGAAUUCACCAUAUUUCAAAAUUGGGAAGUAACUGAAUUUUGAAAUCUAUUUACGUUUUCUAUCAUAUUUCAAAAUCUUGUUAAGUUUUCUAUUGAAUUUCAAAAUUCAGUUAAGAUUUCUCCCAAAUUUCAAAAUCUGGUAGUGUUUUUUUAAAAAAUUGAAAUAUAUUUUUUAUGUUUGUUUUUCUUUUUUCUUAAAUUUAUUUUGGUUGCUUUGUUUUAUGAAUUUCUUGAUCUCCAUUAUUAUUGGAUAAGUGAGGUCUUUUUUGCUUAUGUCAUGUCAUAGGUGUUUACAGUUUAAUGUGAAAGAUUAUCCUUUAAGUUUUAUGAAAUUAAGUAAAUUCCAACUUCAUGUCAGAUUUCUCUUAUUUUAUAAAUGAAAUGUGAGAGGGAGAUAACACAAAUAAUUUUACAACUAAUCAGAUUUUCCCCACGCUUAAUGAGUUAAUUCAAUGGAUUCGAGGGGUUGCUUUUGAUCUUAGUUUUUUGAUUGUCAUUAUAAGAUUUGAUAAAGCUAAUGGUGAACCUAAAAGAAAGAUAUAUGUAUUAAUAGAAUGUGAAAGAGCUGAAAAGUACAAAAAAUACGAAUUUGGUGUUCAACCUAGUAUAAAAAAAUGUAAUUGUCCUUUUAAAUUGAGAGCUAGAUCAAUUUCUAAUGGAGAGAGGAGGGGUAUUGAAGGUAACAUGUGGAUAUUAUAACCAUGAAUUGUCACAAACUUUAGUUGGUCACUCUUUUGUUGAGAGGUUAAAAUCCACUAAACAUUCAUUGUUUGUUGAGAGGUUAAAAUCCACUAAUGAGAAAUGAAUUAUAACUGUUGCUAAUGAUGUUAGAACGUGAUAAAUACAUCCACUAGAUAUAUCUGUAGACAAAUCUAAGGUGGUAGGUGACCUCUUUUGGGCACAUCUUGAUGUAGUAAAAUUGUUAAAUGUAUUUAAUAUUGUUUCUUUGAUGUAUAAUACUUACAAAACCAAUAAAUAUCUAUUUUUAUUACUUGAGAUAGCUGGUGUCACAUCAACAUAGUUGACUUUCUCAAUUACCUUUCUACUCUUAUCAAAUAAACGAAAAAAACAAUUUCACUUCAAACUUCAGAAAAAAAUAUCCUGGAAAAAACCUUAAACAUCUAAUGUGGAGGGUAGCAACAACCACAUAUCCACAACAAUGAGAGGCUGAAAUGAGGAAUAUGAAAGACAUAAAUUUAGAGGCAUUUAAAUACUUUCUUGCCCUUCCACCUAGGUAUGUAUUCAGUCUUAUAAAUAUUUCAUAUACUCACAAUUCACAUUUAAAUGCUUGACAAGUUAUAUUUACUUAUCCGAGGUUUUGGUCAAGAUCUAGAUUCACCUCUAGAUCACAAUGUGACACUUUUGUGAACAACAUGUGCGAGGGCUUCAAUAGUGUGCUAGUUCAUAGUAGGUCUAAGCUAAUUAGUACCAUGUUAGAAGACAUUAGGGUUUACAUUAUGAAGAGAUGGGCUACCAACAGGACAAAGAUGACAUCAUAUCAAAGUUCAAUAUGCCCUAAGGUUUUGAACAUAUUUCAAAAGGAGUCAUGGUUAACUAGAUAUUGUUAUCAAGGUAACUUUUAUAAAGUCUAUUUCCAUUCAUGGUUAGGCAUUUAUAUUGAUCCAGCUAAUUGUGUUGUCAAUUUAUAUUCAUUACAGGUGGUCAAGAGAAAAAUUAUUUGAAGUCAAACAUAUUUCACAAUUUGGACAACAAUUUGUUGUGCAUGUUGACAACAUGGACUACACAUGUAGAAAAUGGACAAUUACUAGCAUUCCUUGUACUCAUGCCAUAACUGCAAUGAAAUUUUUGAAUAUAAAUGCAGAAGACUACAUUGGCCACUAGUUUAGGAAGUCUACUUAUGAAGAGACCCACAACACAAUUAUUUACUUUAUCAAUGGUCAAUGUGUCUGGGAUGUUACACCCUAUUCAGAUGUAUUACCACCAAAGAAGAGGACAAUGCCAGGAAGGCCCAAGAAAAAACGAAGACUGAAGCAUUGGGAGUUGAAGAAGAAUGACAGUGAAAUAAGAAAGGGUGGACACAGAAAAAAAAGGUGGCAUGUGCGAAGAACUUGGACAAAACAAAAAAGGUUGUCCACAAAGACCUCCAACAACAGAGGUUCCCACUGCCCAUUCUACUGAACAAACAGAAGUCACCCAACCUCCAUCAAUAGUAGAGAUUCCUACUGCCCAAUGUCCUGAACAACCACAAUGCAGCCAACCUUCUGCUGGAAAAUAGGUAGGCUUCUUUUCUACACCAAGAGGGGGGGGGGGAUGAAUUGGUGUUGUAUCAAAAAUAACUUCUUUUGGCAAUCUUGAAAAGUAAGUAUGAAACUUUUUGAACUUUCUUGAAAUGUAAGCAAUGAAAAUUUGUAUGUAGCGGAAAAACGUAGUUGACUGUGUUAUAUGUAAAGUCGACUGCAAAGAAAAAGUGUAGGGAUAGAGAAAAGCAAACACUAUAUUUAUACUGGUUCGGCCAACAAUGCCUACAUCCAGUGUCCUUCCAACCCAGGAAGCAAAUGCACUAUAAUGGUUGUGGUUUUUACAACAAGGAAUUUAUAGAAGACCUCCACGCCAAAAAUAUAAAUCUCUUCUCUAACCCAAAACCAAACUAUAAGCAAUAACAACAGCAAGAAAUGCAACAAGAAUCCCCUCUUCUGCAAUAUGCUAACCACUCUGAACAAUCCUCAGAAUGAACUAUCCCCCUGUAUCACAACAGGUCCAAAACCAGCAGUCUUCACGGAUGCCAAGCUAGAAAAUCAAUUCAGCAGUCUUCAAGGAUGCCAAGCCUCAACGUGAUCAAACACAGAACACCUUCUUGUGCAGAUGUUGAUCAAUCAAUGUGUGCGCAGAAAAUCUCUCUUAAGAAUCUCUUUCAAGAAAGACCAUCAUCGUCUUCUUGGAGAAUUCUUGGAGCUCAAAGAAUUCAAUCUGAAACAGAAAUGAAAUUGUUAGAUCAUCAAAAGUCUCUGAACAAAUCGAGUUCAGCCUAUUUUGUCGCACAAUAAUAAGUUCAUGAAAGUACUUGUGGUUUUCAGUUUUGAAACAUGUGGAGUAAAACAUUUGUAAUGAUGCAUUGCACAUAGCACAUAAAGCAUAUGAACACGUUCCAGCUAUAUAUCAAUCAAUCAACAUAGGAACAUGUAACACAAUUCAUAAACAUGUUCAACAGAUAUCACAAUCAAUCACCACAAGAACAUGUAAUUCAGUAACAACAUGUGCAUGUUAUUAAGCAAUGUGUUGUCAUCAUAAAAAACUAGAUUGAUAUAGAAAUUGUGUUGUCAACAAUCUCAACAAUCUCCCCCUUUUUUGAUGAUGCACAAACAUGAUUAAUAACCAACCAUGUUUGCACAUUCUAAUACAAAACAGAGUAAUCAAAAGAUAUAUUACAGUUAGAACAUUCAAGUACUCUACAUGUAACAUAAUUAAAACAACAACAAAUAUCAAGCAGAAUAUGAAAUAGAAUAACAAUUCUAUCCCUUUCAUAAAGCAUUCAUAAAUCUAUCCCCUUUGUGCAUUAGCAAAAAGGGUAUGCUCUAGAUAUUUUGCUGAUAUUUCGAACAGAGAUACACCAAAACAAAAAAAAUAUAUGCAAUUUACAAGAUGCAUUGAUGCUCUCUCAAUUGCAUAAAAAUGAUCUCUCCCCCAUGUUUAAUCACAUGUAAAUGAUAAUGCCCCCUGAAAUGUAGGCAUGUGAGUAAAAAACGUGUAAAAUGUAAUACUCCCCCUGUCAUUAUGCAUAGAUAUCAAAACUAGUUCAGAUGCACAAUGUAGUGUAUCAUAGAUUAUACAAACAGUAUGCACAGAGUUGUAUCAAAGACAGGAUAACAAACAGUUUUAGUCAAACAAUGAUACAAUCAACAAUCUCACAAUAUUAUCUCAAAUAUGAUAUGUAAAAAUCAAUUUAUAUCAGAGAUAAUAGCAGAUAUUAAGAAUAAACAAUCAAUGAAAGAAUAACCAAAUUCUAGAAUUGGAAUUUAUAACCGUGUUAUGAACAGUCGAUUGCAUUAUUUUCCUAGUCGAAUACAUUGCUUGCCAAAGUUGUUGAAAUUCAUUUGAAGUUCCCAAAGCAAUGUUCUUCCUGCAAAACUUUUCAAAGAUCUUUCCCAGAUCAAGCAUUUUAGUUAAGCAAGAGAUAUAAUCAUGAACAACAGAAGUCAAUAUGCAAAGAUGUGUAACAGAUUGAUAACAGUCUAACAACCGUUAUUUUCAUACUUAAAUUUGAUAUCAAAACACACCCUUUUCUCCUCAUUUUUCAUUCUCUACACACCAAACCUUCCUCACCCCAACAUUAACCUCACCAUUAUCACUCAAAGCCAUUGCUUAGUUCGUCUCUCCCCACUCGAAGGGUUUGCUCUGCGGCUGCUGCAACACACCAAGAACCACAACAGCCCUUUUCGCCUUAUCUUUCACACCACCAGUGUUUCGCCUUUUCCUUGCCAAUACAAGUAUGCACUGACGCACUCCAAUUUACCUUCUUGGUUUUCCUUUUCUUUUGGAUUGAAAGGUUCUUUGACUGUGAUUUUUGUCAAAAUUGUGCCAUGUGCUUUGCUGUUCAUCAUUAGACCCAUUUCAUCAAACUUUUUGCUGGUUAAUUUCCCUUGAAUCAUGUUCCCAUUGUAUUACACUUGGCUGCUUUUUGCAUUGCACAUUCAUGUUAAUGCUUCAACUCUUUGUGAAUAACUGAACCCUUUUGCAAUGCACCGUGAAUCCUUGCAUGCUUGAUUCUUCUUUGUUGUUUAAAAUUGAGUUUUUGAGGGUUAAUUUCCCUUCUCUGGGUGACAUUUCUGUUGUACAUGAAUUUAGCAUUGGGUUAGCGGAGAAGGGGACAAGUCGAGGCACCUGUGGAACGUUCUGCACAGGUCGCGCUCAAGCGCCAAUAUCUGAGGGGGCGCCCGGGCGCACGCGGGUCACACCAGGACCUGCACAUUUUGCUCUGUGUUGCUGUUUCCACUAUCCCCUGUUCCAGCAUGUUUCUAAUUCUUUUUUUUUUCCACUAUUUUUCCAUCAUGUUUUAUGUCUUGUGCAAUCAUGAUUGUGCCAUAAUGAAUGCUUGUUGCAAAUGCCUUUAAAUGUUGCUUGAUUACAAUUGCAAACUUUGUCCUCCAUAUGUUUUUACAGAAAAUGGCAUCUUCAUCGGGCCCCAAGCGAAUCAAAACUACUGCUGCUCAUUCUGAAAGAGGGAAACAGAGAAAAGAACAAAGUCACUCUCAUCUUUUCCUCACCAAAGAGCACCGAAAGAACUUUACCACUGUGCAGAAUAGAAAAUUGCUUAUGGAGAGGAAGGUUGUCUUGUUACCCAGCGAUGUACCACCAUUUCAAGCUGAGAUUAGGAGGAGAUAUUGGGGCACCCUAGCCACUUAUCAAGCACCUGCCAACAUUGUUGUGGUUAGGGAAAUUUAUGCUAAUGCUAGGGUGUACUCUCAAGAUGCUGACCCCUUCAUGAGUUAUGUGCGUGGUAAACGCAUCCCUUUUGAUGCAAGCACCAUCAAUAAUUUUCUGAACACAGUUUGGCAUGGGGAAGAUGAUCAGUGUGAUUAUAGUCAGCUGAAGGCAGGUGUUAUUGAUUAUGAAGAAAUUGAGCAAACACUCUGUCUUCCUGGGGGCACAUUUCAAAGAAACAGGCAACAACAACCCCUUCACAUAAAACGCUCAUUCCUCACCUCACUGAGCAAGCUUUGGAUGUCUGUGCUUCAUGCUAACAUUUCUCCAUGCUCCCAUGUCUCGGACAUCAAUGCCAACCGUGCUGUUCUUUUAUUCUGCAUCAUCACUGGGAGAUCCUUCAAUUUGGGCAGAUUCAUUGCUAAUGAAAUCACCACUUGUACUCAUGCCCCUAAUGUGAAAUCUCCGCUUGGGCACCCAUCAUUGAUCACCCAGUUGUGUGAGCUGGUAGGAGUAGACGUCUCCACCCCUCCAUUUGAAAUGCCCCGCAAAGCAAUUGAUUUGUGCUACUAUGAAAAAUAUUGUCUUGAUGAAGAAGACAUUGUCAUCCCACCACCCCAGUCACCCAGGAGCCAUCAUGGCUCUCGCCCCCCCACUGAUCCAUACCAAAUUUUUGACAUGAAGUUGGCCUUAAUUGAUGCUAAGUUGGAGGCCGUCAACCGGAUUGGGUUGGUUCAAGCUGAAAUGAUGCGUCAUGUGUUUGCCUCUUCUCACCCUGGUUUCAUCACACCCGAAGAGUAUGCUUCUCGAGUAGCCUGGCCUGGGGACCAGCCCCAUUCUACCGGGGGAGGUGGAGCCAGCUCAUAUGGUGCAGCANCUGAUGAUGAUGAGCAAGAGGAAGCAGAUGACGAGGAUGAUGCUGAUGAGGAUGCAGAUAUGAAUGAAUAGAGCACAUCAUGAGUUUCAUAGGACCUGUUUUAUUUUGCUUUCUUUUGUUUUGUUUCCUAGUUUAAUAGCUGAACUUGGUUGAAAUUUAGUUUUUAGUUUAGGAUUUAAUGAACAGUUUGCAUUCCAACUUGGAUGUUUUGGUUGAGUUAUCUGGCUUUAUAGACUAUGCUGAUCCAUGAUGCUUAUGCUUGAAUUUGAAAUGAUGUUUGAGAUGGAUCAAGUUAGUUCAAAUUGUGUUGUUGUCUUCAGGAAAUGUAUGAGAAUGCCUUAUGUUUAAUUGCGAUCAGUAUUUAUGGCAGUUGCUUGUUGAUGUUUGUGGAAUCUUGAGUCAACCUUGUGAGAUGUUGUGCCUUAUAUUUUUCUUAUGAAUACUAUCAUCUUAGAUCACAACUGACUUUGCCUGAGUUUCUCUUGUUUAUAUCAUUUGCUUGCUUGUCACACAUGAUCAAGGCCAUGUUUUUCUUCUACCUCAAAGAAGCCAAUACAAACCUGUUGGACCCUAAUGAAAGAUGUUUUCCCUCUUUGAACCUCAAACCUAAUGAAAAACCCCUGAAUUCUCUACCUUGAGCUGAGUAGACUAUUCAUGUUUGCUGCAAGAGAAUGGUUUAAAGUUGGGGGAGUUUGUUUUGUAAGGAUGUAUUGAGAAAAAUACAAAAAUAGAAAAAUGAGAAAAAAAAAAGAAAGAAAAAGAUAAAGAAAAAGAAUUGAAUGAAAGAAAGUUGGGAUAUAAGUCAGAAAGUGGUUGAAAUUGAAGUGAAGCAAAAGAGAAACUGAUGUGCAUGAUUUGAACUGUUUGAUCUCUUAGCUCAAGGUACUUUGUUGUCCUAAAAAACCAUUUUUCUUUCUUAGCCCGGCCACAAUACAAGCCAAUGAAAGUUCUUGCGAUGCUGACUUGCUUGUGAAUGUGUUUAAGUUGGUUGAAAUGAAUGGCAAGUUGAGUUGUGUGACAUUGUGAUAGUAGAGUGAUAGACACACACCCUUAUACAGUAGAGCAUUAGAGCGAGACACUAUCUUUGGUGAGGAUUGGUUCUACUUAAUUCAGUAAAGCAUUCUGCCAUGAUCAUUGAUCUCUUUUAAACUGUGGCAUUUGAUUGAUUGAAUGUUUGAUGAGCAUCACAGUGGAAGACUAAUUUGUUACACAUUUCUAGUCAUUUCAAGCUAGGCAAGUGUUGUGGAUUUUGUUGAGUCUGUGAAAAUAUUUUUUUGUGUUAUAGCCAGAUACCUUUUGAUUGAGGACAAGCAAGGUUCUAAGUUUGGUUCUUAGAGGCACUUCAGCAAAUGCCCUCAUAUGCCAAAUUUCUAAAGGAACUUCUCAUGUAAAAGAGGAAGUAUGUUGAGAAGGAAACCAUUGAAGUGCAAGGAAAUUGUAGUGCAGUUAUAUAAAGGAGAUUACCUCCUAAAUUGCAAGAUCUAGGGAGUUUUACUAUCCCAUGCACCAUUGGAGAGUUAGAAGUGGGGAAAGCUUUGAUUGAAUUGGGAGCUAGCAUUAAUCUAAUGCCUCUUUCCAUGUUCAAAAAGAUCAGAGGAUUAGAACUGAAGCCGACAAGGAUGACUCUUCAAUCGGCAGACAGAUCUCUUAAAUAUCCAUAUGGAGUGGUUGAAGAUGUGAUAGUUAAGGUGGAUAAAUUUUUAUUCCCGGUAGAUUUUUUUGUUAUGGAGAUGGAGGAAAAUGGAGAUGCGCCUUUGAUUCUUGGAAGACCUUUCAUGAAGACAACCAUAAUUUUAAUUGAUGUGGAGAAUGGUAAGCUGAAGGUCAGAGUACAGGAUGAAGAGGUAAAUUUUGAUGUCUUCCAAGCAAUGUCAUAUCCUAAAGAUAAAAAGUCAUGCUUUCAAAUAGACAUUGUGGAAGAACUUUGUAGGCUGCAAGAUAAGAGAAUACGAAAUGCAUCUGCAUUGGAGAGGACUCUCAUUAAUGAAUGUGAAGAUUUAAAUGAAGAAGAAGACAAGAUGAUUGAAGAAUGUCUUCGUGAUUUGGAGGUAACAAAGGAAAUUUCAACAGAAGAGGUCAGUUUUGAAAGAAUUGAUCCCAAAGAGAAAGUGAAAGAAAGUAAGCUUGAAUUAAAGGAAUUACCACCGCAUUUGAAAUAUCAUACACAAAAACCAUCACAGACCUUGAUCAGGAUUCUGCUCACCAUCACAGCCAGACAGCAUGGAGGACUCCCCUUUAACACCGAUUACCAGCUUAGAAGAGAGACCUCAUGGAGCGCAAAAAGAGGGUCACCUGCCUUCAUCUGGAUUGUCAUCUGUUCAACUUUCUUGCGCCUUCAAGAGCAUUUGAUAACCAAAGGAAAAUUCCAAUCAAGCAAGCAGAGGGAACCAUAAUCAAAAGGAGAAGUUCUUGUGAAACUGCGAAGGUAAGUUCUCCUUAGCUUCCUCGCUCACAAGUGAUAAAUGUUAGAUAACAUGCGUAUCUGCUUCGGGUUUUGAUUGGAUAAUGCCUAGUUAUGUCUACUUGAAUGUGCAUUUAUAUUGAACGACUUUGUCUGCUUGAACAUGCAAUAUACAUAUGAUUUGCUUAUGUGCGCUUUUUGUUAUUCCUCCAUCCCAACAACAUAAGCGCGUUUCACCACCUUCAACCAUUAGAGACAAACAUUCUCCCUGCAUAACCCAAACCUGCGAAGUGAUAUGCUGCAUCGUAGCCCAAAUUCCAGUAACCUGUGCUUUGCAGAUACAUCAUCUUCCCAACAAACCGAAACCCAAGAUUAUUUCAGCUCUUCUUAUUCCUCUAUUAUCUGUCAACGCCUACAACCCAUAUAGACACCCCCAUCAAUUUUGAUUUUUGCCACAAACUGUUUCUCUACAAGAAAAAGAAGGACAAACCCCAACCCCUCAAAUUGGUUACGGCUCUGUUCAUUACCAAUCAUCAACAGAGGAAUUGAAUCCUUAAGAAAGAAAGCCACCAUAGAGUGAAAUCAACCCAAGCUAAAAUAAAGAACAAAGACCAAUUUCCAGCAUCCACACACAAGCUAGUACUCCACCUAAACUAAACCGAAACGAAAAUCCGCCGCUGUACCAUCCAUCAUCACCUUCGACCACUCAACGUCAAUCCCCGUUUUUAUUCAUUCUUAUCCAAUCUACAAAGAAGCAGAACAGGGAAGAGGGGAAGAAUUCAACGCCACGGCUGACGGUCCUCUCAGCGGUAAGCAACGGUGUGGGCGGCGCCUUACGCCACACCACGCGACGGCUGGUUUCGGUGGAGGCGGCAAGGAUCGUUCAAGCCAUGAAGAAGCGCGAUGCUGCUCUCUCACGCAUUGGAGAAGGAAGAAAAUCCGGUGGCCGGCGUCGAAUCCGGUGACGAGCAGCAUCACCGGCGCGGUCUUGGCUCACGGCUUGUGGUCUUCGACGGUGGAAGCUAGGGCUGACUGAGUGAGUGGAAAAGGGAAGACCCUGGGUCUCACAUAAUGCAAAUGAUGGAAUAGGAUGAGGAUGUGAGGACCCCUGAGGGUUUCUUGACCUGAGAAGCUAAAAAAGGCCUUGGGCCUAAGCUUCUAAUCCAACCUUUUGUUUAAAAAAAAAGUAAAAAAGAGAAAAGGAAGAAACCAGACAUUUUUUUUCUCCUUCGCGCACUCCCUAUAUUUCACUUGUGCACCAUGGUGUUCAUCCCCUUGGCUUGGGCUCAAGCCCAUUUUGAUUCUCCUUGAACAAAAUAAAUAAAUCGAAAUUUCUAUUUUCCUUGCACCCCUAUUUCUACUAAAUAUCUCACCCCCAUCCAGUUUGGACUUAAGCCCAGACUGUUUAUAAAUUGGUUUGAACACCCUUCUUCUUGUCUACGCACCACCACACCUUUUUUACUUAUUAUUUUGUUUUUAUUUUAUCACAUAACCUUUUAGUUUAUUUUAUUUUUACUUUUUAUUUUCAUUUAGUUAUUUACCUAUUUAUUUUAUUUCUAUUUUUCUACCUUUUAUUUUUGUUUUUCUAUUUACAUAUUCAUUUUAUUUUAUCUACUUUUAUAUAAAUAUUAAAAACCACAAAAACAAAAAAAUGUUUUAAAGGUUUAAGUAUGUGUGUGAUCGCUGACAUCGUCCUCGUGCUGAGACCUUUUCUUCUUUUAUAAAAAAUAUCACAAAAUGUUUUAAGGGUUUAAGCACGUGUGUGAUCGCACGCAUCGUCCUCGUGCUAAGACCUUUUCUCAUUUUAUAAAAUUAAAAAAUAUGUUUUAAAGGUUCAAGCAUGUGUGUGAUCGCACGCAUCGUCCUCGUGCUAAUACCUUUCCUCCUUUUAUAAAAAUUAAAAAAUAUGUUUCAAAGGUUUAAGCACGUGUGUGAUCGCACGCAUCGUCCUCGUGCUAAGACCUUUUCUCCUUUUAAUAAAUUAUCAAAACUGUUUUAAGGUUUAAGCANAUCGUCCUCGUGCUAAGACCUUUUCUCCUUUUAAUAAAUUAUCAAAACUGUUUUAAGGUUUAAGCACGUGUGUGAUCGCACGCAUCGUCCUCGUGUUAAGACCUUUUCCCCUUUCAUAAAAUUAAAAAUAAUAUUUUAAAGGUUUAAGCACGUGUGUGAUCGCACGCGUCGUCCUCGUGCUAAGAACCUUUUCCCUUUUUUAUAAAAAUGCUAAAAUGUAAAUAUUUCCAAACAACAAACAAUAGUUCCCAGAACUACGUAAUCCUUGAUUCUCCAUCAAAAAUGGAGAUACGUAGGAGCGAUGCCAGGCCGUGUCAAGGUCACUUUCCAAAAAAUCAAAAUUUAUCCACCAUCUUUUUUCAAGCAAAUUUUCCAAACAAUUUCUCAAACAAAUCGUUUUCAAAUAGUCAGAACUACGUAGCCUUGAUUUCUCAUCAUCCUUAUCGGGUACAAAAAUAGAAAAAAACAUAUUUUGUUUCUUUAGAAUUUUAUUUUUAGGGAUAGUUAGGCAUCUUGAGAACCACAUCACAUUCACGUAUUUAAUUAAGGGUAUUGUCUUAGGGCAGGCGUUGUAGGGUGCUAAUACCUUCCCUACACGUAACCGACUCCCGAACCCAUGGUUUUCGUGGACUGUGCUUUAUCAUUUUAUGGUUUUUCCGUAGUUUUCCAGAAUAAACUAUGGUGGCGACUCCAAAAUCUUUUUCAAAACCCGUUUCUUUUUUUGGAUCGUCGUCCCGUCGCGAUUCCGGUUGCGACAAUACCCUUUUUGAACCUUGGCCUUAAACAAUAUGAAAACCAUUGUUUGAAUUGAUUUACCUUGAGUUGGGUUGAGAAUAUUUGUAUGUGUUGAAAAACUUCAAGUUUGGGGUUGUAUGGGGAAAGUUGAAAGGCAAAAGAAAAAGCAGUGAGUUUAAAAGUUGAAAAAAGAAAAAGCAUGAGAAAAAGAAAGGAAAAGAAGAAAAGAGAAAGAAACAUGUAAAGUAAACUCAAUGUAAAAGGAAAAAGGGAAGAAGUUGGGAAUGAGUGAGAUUGGUUAAAAUAAGAGUGUGCUUGAACUUUGAAUGAUGAUUUAAAACUCUCUUAACUCAAGGAUUUUGUAUUCCAGAAAAACCAUUUUUUCUUGAUAGCCCAACCUCAUUACAAGCCUUGGAAAAGUCCUUGUGAUGACAUUUGCACGUGAGGAUUUUGAUUGUUCUAGAUGAAUGGAAAUAUUGUUUUAUGUGACAUGUGAACAACAGAGAGUAGAGUGACCUCCUAAACACUUGAAUGAUUGAGUGAAACACUUGCUUGGUGAGAAUUGUUGAAAUCCAUAUAUGCUUAGUGGAUUGAUCAUUCAUGAACAAAACAUCUGUUGGGAAAGAAUUGAUUGUGUAAACUAAAUUGGAUUGAAAGCAUGCAUGCAUCUUUAUAGGAUUCCACUAAAAGUCUAAAUUGUAUAAUAACUUGUUGUGAGAAAAAGGAAUUUUUGAAAAGUGUUGAACUAUUUGAUGAAGAAGUGGAAAGCCACGUUUUGUAUUGUUUGCUUGAGGACAAGUAAAGUUCUAAGUUUGGGGUUGUGAUAACGGUCUAAAAACGUUAUUUUCAUACUUAAAUUUGAUAUCAAAACACACCCUUUAUGGCUUAGAAAGAGCUUAAAGUCAAGUAAAACAUUUAGUUGAGUCAUGAGAGAGUCAAAAGAUGGUUUUAGAGAUAUUAUGCUUGUUUUACAUUAUUUUGCAGGGUUUUAAGGAGAAUUGAAGAUGAAAGUGAAGUAAGGUGGACUUAGACCCGUGAAGGAGGAAGAAAAAGGAUGAAAAGAAGGGCCAAUUGAACCGCUGAGUGCCAGAAUGGACCGUUGAAUGGUUUACUUAGGCGCCUGGGCGGUUGUCUGUUUUUAUUAGUUUAGAUUUUGUAAUCUUUCUGUUAUCUUUUUGGCUUAUAUAUAGCCCCAGUGCAAAUCAAAAUGUAAUCUUUUGAUAGAGAGAAACGUCCAGAGCUAUUCCACACACCUUGGAGGAGGUUCCUUGGAUGCUUAGGCUCUAAUCUAUCAAGUUUAGGGUUAUUUCUUCCAUUCUUUCAUUAUAUUUCAUCUAGAUUCACCAUGAUUAUGGUCAACUAAACCCUAGGUUGCUGGGGAACAAUGUAAUCUUUUGAAACUCUCUUAUAUCCAAAUUCUAAUCUUCUUGAUAUGCUUGCAUAUGCUUAUCUUUAUCAAUUGUUGGGUUCUUUACCUUUGCUUAAUGCUUUUAUCGUUUAAAUCAUUCGGUAAAUGUUAUUUAUCUUUAUUGAUACGGGAAUGUACAAUAAUGUCAUGAACUGGGGGGAAUUCCUUAAUUAUCCUAAUACCGCCUAGGAAUAGGAAUAGGACGAUCAUAUCAAACAAGAACACUAGUAUAGGAACAAUUGCUAAGUCCUAGAAUAACAAGCAGAAAAUGAACAAAAUUAACUAUAUCAAUCAUACAAGAUGAGUCCUAACAACCACAUCUUUUUUUAUUAAAAAAAAUCAUACUUGGAGAAUGAGACUGCAAGAUGCAAGAGUUCAGGAACAAAACCUGCAGAAGAAGUAUUCCAAGAGUUGUUGAACCAAAUCUUGUUGUAAGCUCACCUUUCUCUGCUAGAAGCUACAAAUACAUAUAUGAUUGAUAAGUUGAAUUAUCCAUAUUUAAUGUCACACAUGACAGAGGAUUCAUGCAUGGGGAACACUUAAAAUUAAACCUUGUUUGACGGAAAAAACAUGCUUAGUUUAUAUAAAUUUUCAUAUUGUACUUUUAAACACUUUAGAAUCAUUUCAAACAAAAUUCACUCAACAUAUACUUUGUCAGGUCUGCCAAACAUGCCCUUAAUGAAGGGAAACCAACUGCCGCAUAUAAGAAAACCAAAAGCAAACAGUCAUGAACAGUGAGAUGGAUCUCAAACCUGCUUUAUUCCCUUUAAUAUUGCUUGAACUGUUUCUGGCUUAGUAACAGCUUUCUGCUUGUGGCCUUCACCUUUUGAACCACCCAAAGAUGAAAAUGGGACUAAAGGUGACAAAACAUGUACUUCCUCAGAUGAAUUUGCCAGCAAUGGAGCAGUAUUUGAAAUUCCCUGAAACGGAAAUAAUCAAGUAAUAAAAGAAAAAAGAUGAAGGUAAAAAGAGAGUAGCAAAUCAACAAUAAUCCAUGCAGAGCCAUAAAAUUAUGAAACUUAUAACAGUAGCUUAGUAAGCCUAGAGGUUUUAGUUUGAUGCUUUGGAAAAUAUUAAAUAUGAACAAACCUGUUUAUUAAAAUCUCCAAACAUGAUUGAGUAUGAUCACAAAGUCUAAGAAAUUGUUCGCACAAUUUAGGGCGCAACAACAAGAAUUGUUUUGAAAGUAAUUUUGUUUUCAAAUAAAAAAACAAACUAUAAAGAAAGAAGUGAUAUAGAAAUAUAGGAGGAUAAGAUAUUCCUGACAAGACAACUAAUUAAAGAAAAGAUUAUAAAGAACCAACAAAACAGAAGCGAAGAGUAACAAUAUUAAAAUUUAUCCAACUAAAAUCAUAUCUAAUUCUUAAUUAUAAGGCAGGACAUCUAAACCCUAAGUUUGGUUCUUUGCAACCAAAACUUACAUACUGUAUGGCACAAACAGAGGUAAAAUAAAUAUUUUAACCUUUUCUCUUUAAUUACUAAAAUAACUUCUCAUACCCUUUGACUUUUUAAUAUUAAUAAAAUACCAUAACCUGUACACUUUUAAAGUUUUUUCUCCUUCUAAAUAAAACAUAAAGUAGAAUAAGGAAAAUUAAAAACUAAAAUGAAAUAAUAAUGAGGAAAUAUAAUAGAACCUUUUUGAACCCACCUACGUACUACCUCAAUCUUCACCUCUGUUACGUAAAGAAAAGGGAAAUAAAUAUGUUUUUAUUAUUUACUCUCAAACAAAAAAAUCCAUCCAAUAAUUUUAUAAAAGCACCUUUGUCUCUCCUAGUAAUGCUCUUCAAAAACUAUUUCCUCACUCUGCAAACUCUAACCAUAUGGAGUUCUGGACUAGAAUGUAUAUUUUUCCUUAAUGGACAUACAAUGACUGAGCAACAAGUGAAUUUAAGGUUAAAUAGAGUACUUACCAUAGUGUUUGACAUCAACACUACAUAAAUAUAAACAAUCACAUAAAACAAUAUAUUUAUGAAUUCUAUUUCAUGGUUAUGAAUGAUUUAACCCUGUAAAAAGUAGAAAAAUACAUCGAUUUAACUCUGCAGAAAAAUACAUCGAGCUUGUGAAGUGGAUGGUUAUGAAUUCUAUUUCAUGGGGUUCAUAGCAUAUGACAAGGCUCUCAAGACUAUAAGAGAAGUUUUACAGCAAUAUCACAACCAUUCCAGAGAAGCUUGAAUGAUCAAAAAGCAUGAAAUAUUUUCCAUAUAUAUAUAUAUAUAUAUAUGAUAGAGACACCUUAGAAUUACAAUGUUCCCUUCAUAUGUCAAAAGUGAGAAUUUGUGUUUAGGCAAGGUAUUCUGAGUUAGAUUUUGUUGAAAAUAUUAAUAUAAUUUAAAAAGAAAUUGAUUUUAAUCCCAACCAUAUUGAAUUCCAGAUAACAUCAAUCAUACAUGGUACUUCUAGAUAUUAUCAAUGAGAAAAACAAAUGAACCAUCCACUUAAAAGUCCCUAAGGAUCAAUAUUUGGAGUAGUAAAUGUUUGAACUCCACUUGUUUUAUUACUCUCAAUCCACAAGUUUAACUACUUUUUUAAUGAGCUAUUUCAAUAUUGUUCAAAUAGAAAAAGCUUAACUUCAAAAGUUGUGUGCCUACCAAGAGAAACAGUGAAACAACCAAUCAUAAUAGCUCUGUUGUCACAAAAAAUUUCAUCUCUAGUUAUACCAUUAUUCCAUUUUUCUAAAAGUGCACCAGAUUAUAGUUAUACCAAAUAUCAAAGGCUGUAAGUAAAAUAGUUGCAACUAAGACAACUCUAGCUUGAUCACAUAUACCCCAUAAGAUUUCUGUAUUCUCAAAAGUAGAGUCUAGUUGUUGAAAGUAGUACCAUUUUCUGUGCGUGGUGUCCAUUUUGGAUUUAGGAAUCAUAGAUAGAUAAUUUGAGUAUUUUGCUAAGAUUAAUUAGAAUAAUCCAUUAGUAUGCAUAAUGGUGGAAACUAAUUCUAUCAUUGGCAAGAACUGAAACAAAAGCAAGGCAAGAAUUGAAACAAAAGCAAGGAAUGACAUACUUCUUCUCCUUUCACCAUCAAGUAAAUAUAACAGUGAAAGAUAUUUAAAAGAUAUUUAUAAGAUGAGAGAGGGUGUAAGAAGUAUUUAUGCCUAUAAAAUUAAACUAAAAGAUAAUUAGAUUUCGCUUUCUUAGAAAAAUAUCUCUAUAUAUAUAAUGACUUACAAACAACAUUCGAAUGAAUUCACAUACGCACUGCAUUCGUAUAUAAUUAUAACUCUNCAUAAUUAUAUGCAUAUUUAAUCUAUAUUAACUACUUACCAAAUAAACUCAUAAAUAUUAUAUUCAAUUGUUUGACUUUAUCUAUGGUAAAUAUAUAUCACGUACAUUUAAACUAAGAAAGUGCGGGGUAAGGUUAUGUACUUCUAUAGAUCUUAUAUAACAAAGUGGUGGGGAGCUUUGUGAUUGAGCUACCUUUUGCUUUUUGAUUCUAUUUAUUUCUUUUAAAUUUGACCUGCUUCUUCCAUGAAGUUUGUAUCAACCUUUGCUAAGACUCCAAGCGUAAGUUUGAGUUGCAUAUUGAGUAAAAAUGAUAAAGUUGAGCAAUAUAUGAUGAAGAAAACUCAAACUCAUACCUUGAGAUUUUGGGUCGAAGGUAGUAUUGUAGUCUCUUGUGUGGGUUGACUCAUUGGUGUCAAAUCUCCCUAUUAAAUUUCCAUUCAUAAAACUCAACAAUGGUAUUAUAAAGUUGACCUUGACUUGUCCUUCAGAUACGAGAUGUAAAAAUAAUAGUGUUUAGUGGUCUAAAACAAAGAAACAAUAAAGAGUGCCUUGAAUGGAAGGAGUUGUCUGCCUUACUCAAAGUCAGAAUACAAUUCUUCCUCAUUCUUUAUAUAUAUAUAUAUAUAUAUAUAUAUGUCUAUAUGUCUAUAUAUAUAUAUAUAUAUAUAUAUAUAUAUAUAUAUAUAUUCAAUACUUAUGAUCUUAAACCUGAAUUAAUGAAUUUUUGAAGGAUAAUGAUAUUUAGACAACAUUUUUUACAAUAUUUGAACAUUGAUUGUGUGUUAAUAUGUGAUUAGUCAAAAAUUACUCCACAAUCAAUAAUNNNNNNNNNNNNNNNNNNNNNNNNNNNNNNNNNNNNNNNNNNNNNNNNNNNNNNNNNNNNNNNNNNNNNNNNNNNNNNNNNNNNNNNNNNNNNNNNNNNNNNNNNNNNNNNNNNNNNNNNNNNNNNNNNNNNNNNNNNNNNNNNNNNNNNNNNNNNNNNNNNNNNNNNNNNNNNNNNNNNNNNNNNNNNNNNNNNNNNNNNNNNNNNNNNNNNNNNNNNNNNNNNNNNNNNNNNNNNNNNNNNNNNNNNNNNNNNNNNNNNNNNNNNNNNNNNNNNNNNNNNNNNNNNNNNNNNNNNNNNNNNNNNNNNNNNNNNNNNNNNNNNNNNNNNNNNNNNNNNNNNNNNNNNNNNNNNNNNNNNNNNNNNNNNNNNNNNNNNNNNNNNNNNNNNNNNNNNNNNNNNNNNNNNNNNNNNNNNNNNNNNNNNNNNNNNNNNNNNNNNNNNNNNNNNNNNNNNNNNNNNNNNNNNNNNNNNNNNNNNNNNNNNNNNNNNNNNNNNNNNNNNNNNNNNNNNNNNNNNNNNNNNNNNNNNNNNNNNNNNNNNNNNNNNNNNNNNNNNNNNNNNNNNNNNNNNNNNNNNNNNNNNNNNNNNNNNNNNNNNNNNNNNNNNNNNNNNNNNNNNNNNNNNNNNNNNNNNNNNNNNNNNNNNNNNNNNNNNNNNUAUAUAUAUAUAUAUAUAUAUAUAUAUAUAUUUUGUCUUCCUCUUAUUCUUUAGGUUGAAAUUAAAUCAUUGUAAAAUUUAUAUUUUCUUUCAGACUGAAUAUUCAAAGCACAUAUCGUUGCUUGUAAAGAUUUUAGAAGGUUUAGUUUUUAGAAGUUAUAUCAAAGAUAAAGUUCUUCAUAAUGAAGAGGUACAUAUUGUUCGAGUCAAUGUUUUACUAUUAUUUUUUUCUUCUCCUACUCUCCGAUUUUCCUUUACAAGCUUAUAUUGAUGAAAUUUUGUGUUAAUAAAAGUAUUCAAUUAGUAAUGCGUGAAUGAUAUUAAAAGGCUAGUUCUUUGAAAAUUGAGUACACUUUGUAGAUAAUUGAUGCAGCAAAUGAGGUUAUUGACAGUGUUGAUAAAGAAGAGUUAGCAAAAAAUUUUUGCACUAAAGCAUGAUCCAGGAGAUGAGGAAGUAAAGGUGCUUAUCUAUGUUCCCUAUCCUUUUAAUUAUCCCUGCCACUGACAUAGCAUGUGAGUGUUGUUUGUUCAGAGCAUUUUUCAAUAUUACAUGAUUAGUUGUGAUUUUGGCACUUGGAUAGGAAAUUGAAAACGAACAUUUAUACCCUGAUAAUGUAUAAAGUAGUUAACUGAGAGAGAUGCACAGACAUUGGUAUUGAAGAAAGAAUAGAGGAAAAAUAUUGAAACUAAAGUGCCACAAAUUUGUUUUCAUAGACAAAAGACUCAAAGAUGGUAUCUUUGAAUUGUCUUUAUUUUGAAGCAUGUAGAGUUGUAAGUGAUUAGGGGUCUCACUUUAUUCAACAUACUGAUGGAGUAAAACAUCUACACACACUAAAUAAGUUUAGUGCUGAUACUCCAAAGUCCAAACGAAACCAGCAUGAAAGAAAAAUGCAUAAAAGCAAUGAUAAACUCAUAAAAACAACAAAAAACAGAGGCAUGAGCUUAGGUUAACUAAACCUAUUUCAUAAUACCCAAAUGAACUAGUACUCUUCAGCAGGCAAAGGUUGAUAAGGAGGAGGCUCAAUUGGGAUAGCAACGAAUUCAUAUUUAUUUGUUUGCAGCGAAGAUGAAUAAUGUGGUGCAAUAGUGCUCAAGAAGCCUUAGGAAUUCAUAUUACUGGUAAUAAUAUUCAGUGACUUAAAGCAUAGAUUACUACACUACUUUUAACCCUAAAAUAUCAAUUCACCAAUACAUACAUGAAUCAACUUAUAAUUGUAGAUAUACAUUAGUUUGUGAUCUUCUUGAUGAACCUACACUUCGGUUCAACUACAUGGACGAUCCUGUUCUUUAUCGUUCUACGGUUGGUGCUUUACAAUAUGUUACUAUUACAAAAGCCUAGAAUAAGUUAGUGUGAACAAGGUCUGUCGUGACCUAGCCUUUAUUGGACCACUAGAACGCUGUCAAACGAAAACUUUAUUGGACAACUUUCGCCUAUGACUCUCUUCAAUGGGUAUUACACUUUAAAUGCUUAUUGCAAUAAAAGAAAGUGCACAAGAAAACAGUUACCUCUUGCACGAAAGGGAUGAUUCUUGACACCCUACCUCCACAACGACCUCCCUACACCACGACAGCCAAAGAAUGUGCAGGAAUCCCUCAACCGAAGCACUAAUCGCCCAACCACAGUACCAAUCGCCUCUGCUCAGGACACCAACGUCCUCACCACACCGUCAAUGGCCCACACCCUUCACGUCAAUGACCCAAAUGCACCUUCGCUGACGAAAAACACGAGAGCAGCUUUGCCGAGGAAGAACCACGUCCAACUUUAGGAGUGAAGAAAGCGCUAUUAGGUUUUUACAGCACUGGACGAAGUAAUUCGACGAGAGGGAAAUCCCAAAUUGUUAUCUGAAUUCAUGGAACACCUUACCGACGGCCUAAGGUCCUUCGGUAUUUAAAAUCACCAAAGCUUUACCAACGACUCUAAGGCCUUCGGUAAAAGUCUGCCGGUAAUUAGCGCUUUUACUGUAGUGCGGUAGGCUUCGUUUUAACACCAAGAGGGGGGGGGUGAAUUGGUGAGUUUUCAAAAUCAGAGUCUUUUCACAAUCUUUAUAAAACUUACAAACUUUCUUGAAUUGCAAGUAAUAGAAAAUUAAGUGCAGCGGAAAAACAAAGUUGACUACCAGAAUUGUAAAGUCGACUGAAUAUAAAAGAGUAGGGAUAGAGAAUUCAAACACAAGUUUUUAUAUUGGUUCGGCCUCAAUGGCUACAUCCAGUGUCCUUCCAAUGCCAGGAAGAAAAUGCACUAUAAUGGUCAAGGUUUUUACAGCAAGGCUUUUAUAGAAGACCUCCACGUCAAAAAUAUAAAACACCUCUCUAACCCUCUAACCAAAAUAUAGGCAGCAACAAUACAACAAGACUUGUAGCAAGAUAUCCCCUCUCAUGCAAUCUGCAACCCACUUUGAACAAUCCUCAAAGUGUACCAGACUCCACGAGUCCAACCCUUGUAGUCACAACAGGUAACAACAAUUACCACGGAUGCCAACAAGAAUCUUGAUCAACCUAGAAGUACCUCAAUGUGCAGAUACUGAUCAAGCAGUGUGUGCAACACAAUUCUCCUUUAGAAACUCCUCAAAGAAAGAUCACAAUCAUCUUCUUGAUGAGUUCAUGGAGCAAAAUUCCUUCAAAGAACAAUCUAAAACAGAAUACGAAAGUGUUAGAUUUUCCAAAAGUUCUUUGAAACAACUCAGGUCUCGUCUAUUUAUAGAUUUCUAUAAACCAGACUCUCCUGUAGUCGAUUAUACUACUAAUACAGUCGACUGAAUUAAAUCAGUUAUAACAGUUAAGACGCAAUAGUAGUAUUUCAGUCAAACCAAUUAACUUCGUAGUCAAAGCAGUUGACUAUCAUUCAUUGCUCAACUAACUUUUAAAAAUAUAGUCGUUAUUGUUCAUGAGCACAACAAAAUUUCAAACCAAGCAACUAAUGCAGUCGAAUGCAUGGCGUAUAUAGUCGACUUCAACAUGUCAGAAUAUUUCAAAAAUUUUUCCUUUACAAAAUCUCACAUAGCACUAUUUCACAAAAUAUGUACAAAGACUUUUAGUAUAGUCGAUUCAAUUUAUAAUAAAGUCAACUUUACUCUCAGCUUUGUCACACAGUUUUAAGUUCACAAGAGUGCAUCUGGUUUUCAUCUAUCAAAACAUGUGAAAUGCAUUCAGAUAUGAUAUAACAUGUAUAAGCAUAGUAAAUAUGCAUUCACAUAUCAAUAGACACACAUAAACAUGUUCAAAAAGAUAUCAAUCAAUAAGUACAAAACAUGCAAAACAUCAACAACGUAUGUGGUAUUAAUAAAUGUGUUGCCAUCAUAAAAAACCAGAGUGAUAUAGAUAUUGUGUUGUCAACAAUCUCAACAUAAAACACAUCAGUCAUUCAAUUUUAAUGCACAAUGUCAAGCGUCUGAGACCACUUAACGGUUAGGGUAAAAUUGACUCAUUUUUACAAAAAAUAAGACUCAAGUGAGAUAGUUGCAAAAAUAAAAACUGAACUGAAAUAACCAUACAAAAAUGAGAACCAAUCGAAAGUUUAAACCUAUAUUUUUUUUAAGAAAGAAAAUAAAAAAGAAUUAAAAAUAAAUGUUUAUAAUAGUUUUUUUUGUCUUAAUAUAUAUAUACUACUCCAAGUAUUAAAAUUGCAUAAAUAAGCAAAUAUUCCUUUUAAAUUUGAUUUUUCUGUAAAACAUUUCUUUUUAUAUUUAAUCCAUCUAUCGAAAUGUUAUUUCUUUUAUUUAUUAUUAGUUUGUUAGAUUUAUGAUAGUUCGUAUGUCUAAAAGUACAUGGCUUUACAGUAAAUCUUUACAAAAUAUUAGAGUUGUCAAAAUAGAUACAAUUUAUGGGCUAAUCCGGCCUACUACGGAUUCGAAUCGGAUUUAAAAAAAUUAUAUUUUUGCUAUACUGGUCAUAUUUAAACUCGACUCAUUCGGUUGAAUCCGUGAUUGACCAAGUUGGUCCACCAACCCACUACCUAAUUUUAUUUUAUUAAAAUUUAAUUUUAAUUUUAUAAAAAAUAUUUGUUAUUUUUUUUAAAAAAAAAUUAUUUAAAUUCCUUAUUUUCAAAACUAAUUAAACACCUCAUGUUUAGAGUGAAUUUGGGAGUUAAAUUUGUUUAGAUUUGAAUUAUAGAAAUUUUUAAUUUUUUAUUUUAAAAAAUUAUAAUUUAAUGAAUCAGUGAACCAAGUGGUUCACGUUGAGUUAAAAUUUUUCUGACUCACUAAGAAAUGAAUCAGUGUAAACUGACUCACUAAAUGAUCAAUCUAUGAUAGACCAGACCGGAUCGCACCGAAUAACCCAUUUUGACAACACUACAUAUAUAAAUGUGCUUAAACAGAAGGUUAUAAGAACUUUUAGUACACAACAUACUCUAAAAUCGAUUAUAGUACUUCAACUAAUUUAAGCUUAAAAACGAUUAUAGUACUUCAACUAAUUUAAGCUUAACAGCUGAUUUUAAGGCAGUUGUUCAGUCUCUCACCAAAGUCACUUUCUGUUAAUUGAUUCAUCUUUCCUAUUUAACGUUGAAAAAGGUGAAAUUAAUUCUAUGAUGUAAAAUUAAAAACAAAUUUGAAAGAAUUCACAUCUUAAAAGGUGGCAUUGUAAAAGUUCUCUCCUGCUAGUGUUUUCUUAUGCUUAAUUAUAUCCAAAUCACAAACUAAAUACUGGUUCAGCUUUAAAGUAAAAAGAAAAGAAGUUGGGCGGCAUACGCUUUAAUAAUAAUGAUUCUGACUACAAAACUAAAACUGUCAUAAAUUGCAGGAAGAAAAAAUUUUCUAAACUAAAAUUGUCUCGUAUAUAAUUAGAAAUCAAUUUUAAAAUGGUAUAAAAUCUUUCACAAUAUCUACUCUAAAAGCUAACUUUAGCAUAUUCCGAUUAACCUGUUCUAUUUUUUCGUUCAUUUUUUCAUCUUUUGCCUCAAGUACUUAACCAAAUAAUAGAAAAUUGUGAGGGAAGUUGGAACAGGGUAAGCGAUAAUAAUCAAGACAUCAACUUCUAUAGAAAAUUGUGACUACAAAUCAGUUUGAAAUGACAACCAAAUUUGUAACAUUCAACUUCUAUACAAGAGGCAGGGAUGCGCUUUCCACGACAAAGAAACUGGUCAGAUAUUACCACUGUGUUCAGAUAUUAUCACUGUGUUGACCAGUACUUCUUGAAUCCGUAAAAACUCCCAACUACCUGUUAUGUCAAACAUUAUCAGAAGCUUAGAACAUUCAUCACAAGACAAUGUACUGCAGUAAGAAAUAUCAUGAUCAUAAGAUGUUAUUAUUGCAUCAGGACACACAUGUAUUGAGAAGAGCACAUGUAUUACCAAAAUCCUCUCUUUUAGAUACGGAUGAGUUUAAAUCUUCAAAACCUCUUGGGCUUCGAGUCUGCUAAUGAGACUCGUAUAGCUCUACCAUUCAAAUCCUGCAAAACACAGUCUUGGGUUUAAAUAUGUAACUGAUAAUGAUCCAAUGAGAAAAAGGUCUAUACAGCUACUAAUAUUAAAAUGGGUUUAAAAGGAUCUAUUUAACCCACUUAUUAAGAUGAAAUAUCGUAGACAUUUGUGCACGGCAGAGAUAUCUGCUUGAAUUCCAAAAUGGAGAUUUUUCAAACAAAGUGCAUGCAGGAAGAUUAACUUCUCUGAUCUGAAACGCUUCUUAUCUAAAAUCUAAAUAUUCCGUGCCCAUAUGACUUUAAAAUGUGAAUUGCGAAAAAGAAAAGGCACAACUUUGUUUUUAUGAGUCUUCUAAACAAAUGAUGAUAUAUGGAAGAAAAAGCAAACUAAAAAUAUCUCACACACACACUACUCUUCAGGAUUAGCACGCUUACCACACCAUCCAAGGACUCAAUUGCACUGCUGACUUCAUCGGCACUACUGUAAGUCACAAAUCCAAAGCCUUUUGAUCGUCCACUGUCCCUGUCAUAGACUACCCUUGCUUCCACGACAUUUCCCUGUUCCCGAAACAAUGACUCCAAUGCUACAUGGUCAACACCCCAAGCAAGAUUACCCACAUGGACUUUGUUUUUAUUAUCUGAAAAAUCACCACCACCUCCACCACCACCACCUCUGUUAGAACUUCUAAGACGAGAUGAACUCUCAUUCCGAGCAGGGGGUGGCCCAGCAUUCACUCUAAGGGCCCUUCCAUCCAGUUCCUAUGAAUUAACCAAAGAUUCAUUCCUUAGACAUGAUAAAGAAAUGAACAAAGAUACAUGGCGGUGACAGAUGAAAAAUACAUUCACAUUUCAAACCAGACAAAUUCAAUCUCAAACAACACUGUUUAGUUAUGCUUUUAGUCACCUUAACCACUAGCUUGUUGUAUUACAAGAAAAUUGCUGUUUGUAUAACAAACCAAUACCGAUACAUUGUUUCAAUUGUAAUCACCAAAAUCAGUUCUGCAGUCAAUAAAACAAAUUUUAAGUGAAAUUUGUAUGCCGAUGGUAAAUAGAGUUGAUUCUGGGAUUGAGAGCCACCAAGAGAUUGUCUGGCUGGUUUCAUAGUUUAAAUGCAAAAUUGAUUACCAACUCCAAUGAAAAUCAAAAACUAACUCCACUUUACCAAUCAAACAAAAAAGUAAUUCUUCCAAACACAAAUCAAUUUUAUCAACCUCAUUUCUCACAACAUCACCAAUCUAAAAAGAACCAGAGAAACGCUAACCCUUCAAACAAAAACCAUCUUCAUCAAAAAACAGCCAAACUAUAAACUCACAUAUCCAUUGAACUGCUGAACAGCCGCUUCAACCUCCUCAACCGUAGACAUUGUCACAAACCCAAACCCCCUGCUUCUCCCAGUCGUCUUAUCAUAAAUCACCUGCCCAAAACAGAAAACAAGUCACGACCCAUUUCAAUUCUGCCCAAAGGGCUACGGUAAAACCCCUCAAAAACCCAAAUUUGCAACCGAAACAUAAACAUCACCUCGACCACCUCCACAAUCCCAACACUUUCGAAGAGCUCUGCGAGCUGCGCACUGUCAACACUGAACGGAAGGUUGCCAACAAAGAGCUUAAGGUCGGGGGAGAAGCCCUGGGCGGCGGCAAAGGUGUCCUCUUGCUGGUCGUAGUCGGAGGAGAGGGCGACGCGGGGAAGGAAGCGAGAGGAGAGGGAGAAAGUGGGUUUGAGGAAAACGGUAGAAAUGGAGAUGGGUUUGGCGUUAGGGGUGAGGGAGAGAGAAGAAGAGAAGCAUUUGGGAGAAGAGAGAGGAUGCUGUGUUCUGAGAGUGAGAGUUGAGAGUGCAAGAGAUGUUGCAGAGGUAGACAUUGUUACAGAUAAGGUUUUGUAAGGAAGGAGAAGAAGUAGGGUUUAUGAAGGAAUGGGAGAGUUUAGGUGAGUGAGGAGUGUUAUAUUUAUGGGCAAGAAAGAAGAAAGAGCAUACUGAUAAGGUUUAUUCAUCAUCCAUUUACUACUCUAUCCUUCGUCUUUUUCACUCUGCC